This 703-nucleotide ribosomal RNA is filed under the name uncultured Methanomicrobiales archaeon. RNAcentral describes it as "bacterial SSU rRNA". It matches the Rfam family "Archaeal small subunit ribosomal RNA", at positions 151 to 859 of the family's 1478-position model. The record is from RNAcentral. Lineage: Archaea; Methanobacteriati; Methanobacteriota; Methanomicrobia; Methanomicrobiales.
ACCCCAUAGACUAGAGAAGCUGGAAUGCUCUCAAGUCCAAAGGUCCGCCGCCUUAGGAUGGGUCUGCGGUCGAUUAGGUUGUUGUUGGGGUAACGGCCCAACAAGCCCGUGAUCGAUACGGGUUGUGAGAGCAAGAGCCCGGAGAUGGAUUCUGAGACACGAAUCCAGGCCCUACGGGGCGCAGCAGGCGCGAAAACUUUACAAUGCGGGAAACCGUGAUAAGGGAACCCCGAGUGCCCGUAAAUUCGGGCUGUCCAUCAGCGUAAAUAACUGGUGAAGAAAGGGCCGGGCAAGACCGGUGCCAGCCGCCGCGGUAAUACCGGCGGCUCGAGUGGUGGCCACUAUUAUUGGGCUUAAAGCGUCCGUAGCUUGGUUGUUAAGUCUCUUGGGAAAUCUACCGGCUCAACCGGUAGGCGUUCAGGAGAUACUGGCAAUCUAGGGACCGGGAGAGGUGAGAGGUACUCCAGGGGUAGGAGUGAAAUCCUGUAAUCCUUGGGGGACCACCUGUGGCGAAGGCGUCUCACUAGAACGGCUCCGACAGUGAGGGACGAAAGCUGGGGGAGCAAACCGGAUUAGAUACCCGGGUAGUCCCAGCUGUAAACGAUGCGCGUUAGGUGUAUCGGUGACCACGAGUCACCGAGGUGCCGAAGGGAAACCGUGAAACGUGCCGCCUGGGAAGUACGGUCGCAAGGCUGAAACUUAA